Cyprinus carpio carpio is the source of this 1353-nucleotide long non-coding RNA. Lineage: Eukaryota; Metazoa; Chordata; Actinopteri; Cypriniformes; Cyprinidae. The record is from Ensembl.
UUCAGCAGUGGGGCAACUGAAAUUGUGCCAAACUCAUGGGUUGAAGGAGAUAAAGUGUUCUGGCCCCCAUACCCUCCUAAGGACUCUAUUAGGCUGAAUGCAGCCAUCCUGAAUAGAGAGCAGCCUGGUCAGGGAUGGCACACAUACCAGCCUAUCCGUCUCCUCAUAACUCGUGAUAGUCAUGAUGAGGCAGCGAGGAGCAUGGACAGAUAUCUCAAUAAAGAUUGUGACACCACUGACAUCCAGUCUGAGGAGGAGAGCCACCAUGCCCUGAAAAGACAAAAAAAGACCGAAUCCAGUUUAUCACUCAGACAAGGAGCCCCAGAAUGAGCGCAGAUUCACCCAAGCCCCAAAAGUGUUAUUUCCAGGUUUAGUUAGCCACAUUGUGGCGUGUGUGUGUGUGUGUGUGUUUGUGUACAUAAAGAAAGCUUUUGCAAAAAAUAGAGAUUCUAAAUAUGCAUUACACACGUUUGCCCUUAAACACCACAAUUCCCCCACCCACAAUUUUUUUUCUUUACACAAAGCAGCGACCCAACUAGCCAGUCAGAACAGCCAACCAUCACCACCUUCACGAAUCUAUCAGACCCUCCAACGCCCCAAUUCCCCAAUGUUGUCUUACCCCAAUGUCCCAGCAUCAUUCCCUGGAGAUGAAUUGGUGUUCUCUCCAAUGAAUUUACUCCAGAGGCCAUCUCCUGAAGGUAUGCUUUUAAAAAGAAGCAAUUAAAUUCAGUCAAUUCAAACAUUCAAAUUCGAGCCAAAUGCAGUAUAUCCAGUCAAAUGGUUUAAUUUCUCUUUUCACAGUUGUUUCAGAUUCUUCAGAAACUGCCAGGUUGGCAUUAAAAGGUAAGUACAAUUAAAUCCUAGCGGCCCAGGCUUUUCUUUCCUCAAUGAUUUAAAUCAUUGAAGGAUUUACCACUUAUCAACUGUUAGCUUAAACCAAUGGAGGGAGACAUUGCUAAAAUAAACAACUGUUAAAAAGUUUGUUACCAUCAUUCAUUUUUCCAUUUGGAAUCAUUAUAACCAGCCUCAUGAAAUAAUGGUUUUACAGCAGUCCAAGAGUGGUCCCAUACUAAAAAAAUUUUGGUGAUCCCAAACAUUUGAACAUUAGUGUAUGACAAUGAUAAAAAAAAGAAACAUUACACUGACUGCUCGAAGUAAUUUUUUAGUUCAACAUCUUCUUAAAUUUGUUUGUACAAUUUUCUUUGUCAAUAGAUGUGGCUACUCAAAAACUUCUUACUGCAGUGACAGAGCUGUCCAAGGAGGUGAAGGACCUGUGGGAGGAAUUUAGGCAAUUCCACCAGUCCUGCAGGUGUGGACAAUUGGAGUCUGUGGUACAGCCACUGUCGGAGCCCU